Long non-coding RNA from Poeciliopsis prolifica (blackstripe livebearer), 774 nucleotides. RefSeq lists it as uncharacterized. The record is from RefSeq and is a predicted model, not a curated record. Lineage: Eukaryota; Metazoa; Chordata; Actinopteri; Cyprinodontiformes; Poeciliidae. The transcript has 3 exons.
UCCUGGAUCACGUUAGCUUGGAUUUCUUCGUGACCCAGAAUCAACGUGUCAGUAAAUCCUACUGGUUCAGUUCUAGUUCUUGCUCCGUCUCGGCCUCUUUAAACAACUUGUUCACACUCACCGCCUCAGCAGCAACGUCUUUAUUGUUCAUGAACAGCGGAAUACAAGCCGACUACAACGAAAAGAGAUCCAUCAGUCAGACAGGUGGAGAUUCAGGGCAGCAUGGAUUGAAACAAGGAUUUAAGGCUAAUGAAAGUUACCUGUACAGGUGUCAUGAAGACUGCAGCUGCAGAGGAAUCACCAUCUCAGCCUGGAUUUGAGUCAGAGAUGUUAAUAUUAAAAGUGAGCAAAAAAGCCUUGGAAACUGGCACAGACAAUCAUCAUAUUGGAGACAGUGAUCCAGCUGGUCCUCAGAUCCCCGUCCUGGAUUUCACUAAAUCCAGUCCAGGACUGAAGAGGAGGAAGAGAGACUGGGUUAUCCCUCCCUUAAACAUUGCUGAGAAUUCUAGAGGACCUUAUCCUUUGCAUAUUCAUGAGGUAACAGGAACAAAAAUGUUAUACAGUUUUUUUAAGAUGUCAGAAACAUUUCCUGCAGUGUAUUUUCCUCUUUAUUUAUAUCAUAUGUUUGUAAUGUGCAUUUACAAACUUUCUACAUUUCAUUUUGUGUUUAGUAAAACUGAAUUUGGCUCCAAAGUGAAAAAAAAAGUGUUUCUGGCCUGUAUCUUUUAUACCAGAAAUAACAUAGAAUAAAUGCUUCAACUAAAACAUCUCUUA